This is a long non-coding RNA of Thalassophryne amazonica, 222 nucleotides long. RefSeq lists it as uncharacterized. The transcript is spliced from 2 exons. The record is from RefSeq and is a predicted model, not a curated record. NCBI's taxonomy places the organism in Eukaryota, Metazoa, Chordata, Actinopteri, Batrachoidiformes, Batrachoididae.
GUGGUCAAUCAGCGCGCUGCGGCUGCUCUUGAUCAGAGAGUGGGAGUUACGCAGCUCCAUCAGCCAGUUCCUGAAGCUGCGUCCGGUGAAGGUGCUCGGGCUGCAGCUUAUGUCCUGCAGAGGAAUUCCUGAGUCACGGAUGGUAUCGAGAGCCUUCAUUCUGUACAGGUAGUUGUAGCAACCUUAAACACACAAACAAGGCCAUUACACAACACUUAAAAA